GGGUGCGUAACGCGUAUGCAACCUACCUAUAACUGGAGAAUAGGUCCCGGAAACGGGAAUUAAUACUCCAUAACAUUCUUUUUCCUCAUGGAUUUUGAAUUAAAGCUCCGGCGGUUAUAGAUGGGCAUGCGUAACAUUAGGUAGUUGGUGAGGUAACGGCUCACCAAGCCAACGAUGUUUAGGGGUUCUGAGAGGAUUAUCCCCCACACUGGUACUGAGACACGGACCAGACUCCUACGGGAGGCAGCAGUGAGGAAUAUUGGUCAAUGGACGCAAGUCUGAACCAGCCAUGCCGCGUGCAGGAUGACAGCUCUAGUAGUUGUAAACUGCUUUUAUUUGGGAAGAAACCCUCCUAUGUAUAGGGGGCUGACGGUACCAUUUGAAUAAGCACCGGCUAACUCCGUGCCAGCAGCCGCGGUAAUACGGAGGGUGCAAGCGUUAUCCGGAUUUAUUGGGUUUAAAGGGUUCGCAGGCGGAAUAUUAAGUCAGUGGUGAAAUCUCCCGGCUCAACCGGGAAACUGCCAUUGAUACUGGUAUUCUUGAGUGCAGUUGAGGUAGGCGGAAUGUAUCAUGUAGCGGUGAAAUGCAUAGAUAUGAUACAGAACACCGAUUGCGAAGGCAGCUUACCAAACUGUUACUGACGCUCAUGAACGAAAGCGUGGGGAGCAAACAGGAUUAGAUACCCUGGUAGUCCACGCCGUAAACGAUGAUUACUCGUUGUUGGCAAUACAUCGUCAGCGACUGAGCGAAAGCAUUAAGUAAUCCACCUGGGGAGUACGAUCGCAAGGUUGAAACUCAAAGGAAUUGACGGGGGCCCGCACAAGCGGAGGAGCAUGUGGUUUAAUUCGAUGAUACGCGAGGAACCUUACCUGGGCUUAAAUGUAGAGGGACCGGUGCCGAAAGGUGCCUUUCUUCGGACCAUCUACAAGGUGCUGCAUGGUUGUCGUCAGCUCGUGCCGUGAGGUGUCGGGUUAAGUCCCAUAACGAGCGCAACCCCUAUCAUUAGUUGCCAUCAGGUUAAGCUGGGGACUCUAAUGAAACUGCCUACGCAAGUAGAGAGGAAGGUGGGGAUGACGUCAAAUCAGCACGGCCCUUUACGCCCAGGGCUACACACGUGCUACAAUGGCCGGUACAAAGGGCAGCUACCUGGUGACAGGAUGCUAAUCUCCAAAACCGGUCUCAGUUCGGUUCGAAGUCUGCAACUCGACUUCGUGAAGUUGGAUUCGCUAGUAAUCGCGCAUCAGCCAUGGCGCGGUGAAUACGUUCCCGGGCCUUGUACACACCGCCCGUCAAGCCAUGGAAGUUGGGAGUACCUAAAGUCCGUAACCGUAAGGAGCGGCCUAGGGUAAAACCGAUGACUG
RNAcentral lists this ribosomal RNA (1361 nucleotides) under metagenome. Its description in RNAcentral is "bacterial SSU rRNA". It matches the Rfam family "Bacterial small subunit ribosomal RNA", at positions 104 to 1477 of the family's 1533-position model. The record is from RNAcentral.